This 481-nucleotide ribosomal RNA is filed under the name uncultured Synechococcus sp. RNAcentral's name for it is "bacterial SSU rRNA". It matches the Rfam family "Bacterial small subunit ribosomal RNA", at positions 42 to 569 of the family's 1533-position model. The record is from RNAcentral. Lineage: Bacteria; Bacillati; Cyanobacteriota; Cyanophyceae; Synechococcales; Synechococcaceae.
GCGUGCUUACACCCUGCAAGUUGCAACGAACUUCGGGUUAGUGGCGGACGGGUGAGUAACGCGUGAGAAUCUGCCCUCAGGAGGGGGACAACAGUUGGAAACGACUGCUAAUACCCCAUAUGCCGCGAGGUGAAAUGAAUUUCGCCUGAGGAUGAGCUCGCGUCUGAUUAGCUAGUUGGUGUAGGUAAUGGCUCACCAAGGCAUCGAUCAGUAGCUGGUCUGAGAGGAUGAUCAGCCACACUGGGACUGAGACACGGCCCAGACUCCUACGGGAGGCAGCAGUGGGGAAUUUUCCGCAAUGGGCGAAAGCCUGACGGAGCAACGCCGCGUGAGGGAUGAAGGCCUCUGGGCUGUAAACCUCUUUUAUCAAGGAAGAAGAUCUGACGGUACUUGAUGAAUAAGCCACGGCUAAUUCCGUGCCAGCAGCCGCGGUAAUACGGGAGUGGCAAGCGUUAUCCGGAAUUAUUGGGCGUAAAGCGUC